UGGGGGAUAUUGCACAAUGGGCGAAAGCCUGAUGCAGCGACGCCGCGUGGGGGAUGAAGGCCUUCGGGUUGUAAACUUCUUUUGCUCUGAACAAGGCGCACCAUGGGGUGUGUUGAGUGUAGGGGUUGAUUAGCGCCGGCUAACUACGUGCCAGCAGCCGCGGUAAUACGUAGGGCGCGAGCGUUGUCCGGAAUUAUUGGGCGUAAAGGGCUUGUAGGUGGCUGGUUGCGUCUGUCGUGAAAGCUCAUGGCUUAACUGUGGGUUUGCGGUGGGUACGGGCUGGCUUGAGUGCAGUAGGGGAGGCUGGAAUUCCUGGUGUAGCGGUGGAAUGCGCAGAUAUCAGGAGGAAUACCGGUGGCGAAGACGGGUCUCUGGGCUGUUACUGACACUGAGGAGCGAAAGCAUGGGGAGCGAACAGG
This 419-nucleotide ribosomal RNA is filed under the name bacterium. Its description in RNAcentral is "partial 16S ribosomal RNA". It matches the Rfam family "Bacterial small subunit ribosomal RNA", at positions 355 to 776 of the family's 1533-position model. The record is from RNAcentral.